CGCCUGUUUAUCAAAAACAUCUUUUCUCGUUAGUUUUUGAAGUAUGGCCUGCCCACUGACUUUUGAAUGUUGAAGGGCCGCGGUAUUUUGACCGUGCAAAGGUAGCAUAGUCAUUAGUUCUUUAAUUGUGAUCUGGUAUGAAUGGCUUGACGAGGCAUGGGCUGUCUUAAAUUUUGAAUUGUUUAUUGAAUUUGGUCUUUGAGUUAAAAUUCUUAGAUGCUUUUAUGGGACGAGAAGACCCUAUAGAGUUUAACAUUUAUUAUGGUCUUUUUCUGUUUGUGAGGGUUCACUGGGCCGUUUAAUAUGUUUUGUUGGGGUGAUGGGAGAGAUUUAUUUAACCUCUCCUUUGUGUUGUUAUAUUUAUUUAUAUUUACUUGAUCCAUUUAUUUUGAUUGUAAGAUUAAAUUACCUUAGGGAUAACAGCGUAA
RNAcentral lists this ribosomal RNA (428 nucleotides) under Reticulitermes okanaganensis. RNAcentral describes it as "partial 16S ribosomal RNA". It matches the Rfam family "Bacterial large subunit ribosomal RNA", at positions 1797 to 2485 of the family's 2925-position model. The record is from RNAcentral. Lineage: Eukaryota; Metazoa; Arthropoda; Insecta; Blattodea; Rhinotermitidae.